Molecule: ribosomal RNA, 468 nt
Filed under: uncultured bacterium
Lineage: Bacteria
Description: partial 16S ribosomal RNA
Rfam family: Bacterial small subunit ribosomal RNA
Source: RNAcentral
GACGAACGCUGGCGGCGUGCUUAACACAUGCAAGUCGAACGGAAAGGCCCUGCUUUUGUGGGGUGCUCGAGUGGCGAACGGGUGAGUAACACGUGAGUAACCUGCCCUUGACUUUGGGGUAACUUCAGGAAACUGGGGCUAAUACCGGAUAGGAGCUCCUGCUGCAUGGUGGGGGUUGGAAAGUUUCGGCGGUUGGGGAUGGACUCGCGGCUUAUCAGCUUGUUGGUGGGGUAGUGGCUUACCAAGGCUUUGACGGGUAGCCGGCCUGAGAGGGUGACCGGCCACAUUGGGACUGAGAUACGGCACAGACUCCUACGGGAGGCAGCAGUGGGGAAUAUUGCACAAUGGGCGGAAGCCUGAUGCAGCAACGCCGCGUGCGGGAUGACGGCCUUCGGGUUGUAAACCGCUUUCGCCUGUGACGAAGCGUGAGUGACGGUAAUGGGUAAAGAAGCACCGGCUAACUACGUG